RNAcentral lists this ribosomal RNA (478 nucleotides) under uncultured bacterium. RNAcentral's name for it is "partial 16S ribosomal RNA". It matches the Rfam family "Bacterial small subunit ribosomal RNA", at positions 28 to 507 of the family's 1533-position model. The record is from RNAcentral.
GACGAACGCUGGCGGCGUGCUUAACACAUGCAAGUCGAACGUGAUUUUUGUGGAAAUUCUUUCGGGAAUGGAAAUGAAAUGAAAGUGGCGAACGGGUGAGUAACACGUGAGCAACCUACCUUACACAGGGGGAUAGCCGUUGGAAACGACGAUUAAUACCGCAUGAGACCACAGAAUCGCAUGAUAUAGGGGUCAAAGAUUUAUCGGUGUAAGAAGGGCUCGCGUCUGAUUAGCUAGUUGGAAGGGUAAGGGCCUACCAAGGCGACGAUCAGUAGCCGGUCUGAGAGGAUGAACGGCCACAUUGGAACUGAGACACGGUCCAAACUCCUACGGGAGGCAGCAGUGGGGAAUAUUGCACAAUGGGGGGAACCCUGAUGCAGCGACGCCGCGUGAGCGAAGAAGGUUUUCGAAUCGUAAAGCUCUGUCCUAUGAGAAGAUAAUGACGGUAUCAUAGGAGGAAGCCCCGGCUAAAUACGUG